UUACUCUGGUUUCUCUUCAAAUCGUAUAAAUCUUUCGCCUUUUACUAAAGAUUUCCGUGGAGAGGAACAAGAGUUAAUAACUAAUUUUUUGAAGUCCUGCAGAGCAGGACU
RNAcentral lists this small nuclear RNA (111 nucleotides) under Echinops telfairi (small Madagascar hedgehog). RNAcentral describes it as "U5 spliceosomal RNA (ENSETEG00000021090.1)". It matches the Rfam family "U5 spliceosomal RNA". From Rfam's summary of the family: U5 RNA is a component of both types of known spliceosome. The precise function of this molecule is unknown, though it is known that the 5' loop is required for splice site selection and p220 binding, and that both the 3' stem-loop and the Sm site are important for Sm protein binding and cap methylation. Lineage: Eukaryota; Metazoa; Chordata; Mammalia; Afrosoricida; Tenrecidae. The record is from RNAcentral.